AACGAACGCUGGCGGCAGGCUUAACACACGCAAGUCGAACGAGAUCUUCGGAUCUAGUGGCAGACGGGUGAGGAACACGUGGGAACAUCCCUUUCAGUUCGGAAUAACGUUGGGAAACUAACGCUAAUACCGGAUACGUCCUUCGGGAGAAAGAUUUAUCGCUGAAAGAUUGGCCCGCGUCUGAUUAGCUAGUUGGUGAGGUAAUGGCUCACCAAGGCUACGGUCAGUAGCUGAUCUGAGAGGAUGAUCAGCCACAUUGGGACUGAGACACGGCCCAAACUCCUACGGGAGGCAGCAGUGGGGAAUAUUGGACAAUGGGCGCAAGCCUGAUCCAGCCAUGCCGCGUGAGUGAUGACGGCCUUCGGGUUGUAAAGCUCUUUUGUCCGGGAAGAUAAUGACUGUACCGGAAGAAUAAGCCCCGGCAAACUUCGUGCCAGCCGCCGCCGGUAA
RNAcentral lists this ribosomal RNA (450 nucleotides) under uncultured bacterium. RNAcentral's name for it is "partial 16S ribosomal RNA". It matches the Rfam family "Bacterial small subunit ribosomal RNA", at positions 29 to 523 of the family's 1533-position model. The record is from RNAcentral.